UACGUAGGGGGCAAGCGUUGUCCGGAUUCAUUGGGCGUAAAGAGCUCGUAGGCGGCCACUCAAGUCGAAUGUGAAACCUCGAGGCUCAACCUCGAGCCUGCAUUCGAUACUGGGCGGCUAGAGUCUGGUAGGGGGAUCUGGAAUUCCUGGUGUAGCGGUGGAAUGCGCAGAUAUCAGGAGGAACACCGGUGGCGAAGGCGGGAUCCUGGGCCAGUACUGACGCUGAGGAGCGAAAGCGUGGGGAGCAAACAGG
RNAcentral lists this ribosomal RNA (253 nucleotides) under uncultured bacterium. Its description in RNAcentral is "partial 16S ribosomal RNA". It matches the Rfam family "Bacterial small subunit ribosomal RNA", at positions 524 to 776 of the family's 1533-position model. The record is from RNAcentral.